UCAUAGAAGUUGGAUGGGUGUCACUC
This 26-nucleotide non-coding RNA is filed under the name Rattus norvegicus (Norway rat). The record is from RNAcentral. Lineage: Eukaryota; Metazoa; Chordata; Mammalia; Rodentia; Muridae.